Molecule: ribosomal RNA, 497 nt
Filed under: uncultured bacterium
Lineage: Bacteria
Description: partial 16S ribosomal RNA
Rfam family: Bacterial small subunit ribosomal RNA
Source: RNAcentral
GAUGAACGCUGGCGGCGUGCCUAAUACAUGCCAGUCGAGCGAACAGACGAGGAGCUUGCUCCUCUGACGUUAGCGGCGGACGGGUGAGUAACACGUGGAUAACCUACCUAUAAGACUGGGAUAACUUCGGGAAACCGGAGCUAAUACCGGAUAAUAUAUUGAACCGCAUGGUUCAAUAGUGAAAGACGGUUUUGCUGUCACUUAUAGAUGGAUCCGCGCCGCAUUAGCUAGUUGGUAAGGUAACGGCUUACCAAGGCAACGAUGCGUAGCCGACCUGAGAGGGUGAUCGGCCACACUGGAACUGAGACACGGUCCAGACUCCUACGGGAGGCAGCAGUAGGGAAUCUUCCGCAAUGGGCGCAAGCCUGACGGAGCAACGCCGCGUGAGUGAUGAAGGUCUUCGGAUCGUAAAACUCUGUUAUUAGGGAAGAACAAAUGUGUAAGUAACUAUGCACGUCUUGACGGUACCUAAUCAGAAAGCCACGGCUAACUACGUG